This 1351-nucleotide ribosomal RNA is filed under the name uncultured bacterium. RNAcentral describes it as "bacterial SSU rRNA". It matches the Rfam family "Bacterial small subunit ribosomal RNA". The record is from RNAcentral.
AGUUUGAUCAUGGCUCAGAGAUGAAUGCUGGCGGCGUGCCUAACACAUGCAAGUCUAGCGGCAGCGAGGGGUGCUUGCACCCUGUCGGCGAGCGGCGAACAGGCUGAGUAACGCGUAAGAAUUUGCCCCAAAGUGAGGGAUAACUGCCCGAAAGGGUAGCGAAUACUGCAUAUGGUCUUUGGAUUAAGGGAUUUAUCCGCGUUGGGAGAAGCCUGCGUUGGAUUAAGUAGUUGGUAGGGUAAUGGCCUACCAAGCCGACGAUCCAUAGCUGGUCUGACAGGAUGAUCAGCCAGACUGGAACUGACACACGGUCCAGACUCCUACGGGAGGCAGCAGGUGAGGAAUCUUCCACAAUGGGCGAAAGCCUGAUGGAGCAACGCCGCGUGAAGGACGAAGGCCUUCGGGUUGUAAACUUCUUUUAUGAGUGAAGAAUAUGACGGUAACUCAUGGAUAAGCACCGGCUAACUACGUGCCAGCAGCCGCGGUCAUACGUAGGGUGCAAGCAUUAUCCGGAGUGACUGGGCGUAAAGAGUUGCGUAGGCGGUUUAAUAAAUGAAUAAUGAAACCUGGUGGCUCAACCAUACAGACUAUUAUUCAAACUGUUAAACUCGAGAAUGGUAGAGGUAACUGGAAUUUCUUGUGUAGGAGUGAAAUCCGUAGAUAUAAGAAGGAACACCGAUGGCGUAGGCAGGUUACUGGGCCAUUUCUGACGCUAAGGCACGAAAGCGUGGGGAGCGAACCGGAUUAGAUACCCGGGUAGUCCACGCCGUAAACGAUGGAUACUAGCUGUUGGAGGUAUCGACCCCUUCAGUAGCGAAGCUAACGCGUUAAGUAUCCCGCCUGUGGAGUACGGCCGCAAGGCUAAAACAUAAAGGAAUUGACGGGGACCCGCACAAGCGGUGGAUUAUGUUCUUUAAUUCGACGAUAACCGAAGAACCUUACCAGGGCUUGACAUCCAGGGAAGGUCUCUGAAAGUAGACUGUGCCUUUUGGAACCCUGUGACAGGUGAUGCAUGGCCGUCGUCAGCUCGUGUCGUGAGAUGUUAGGUUAAGUCCUUCAACGAGCGCAACCCUUGCAAGUAGUUGUAUUUUUCUACUUGGACUGCCCCGGUAACGGGGAGGAAGGAGGGGAUGAUGUCAGGUCAGUAUUUCCCUUACGUCCUGGGCUAGAAACGUAAUACAAUGGCUAGUACAAUGCGCAGCGAAGCCGCGAGGUGAAGCAAAUCGCAUCAAAGCUAGUCCCAGUUCGGAUUGGAGGCUGAAACUCGCCUCCAUGAAGUCGGAAUCGCUAGUAAUCGCAAAUCAGCAAGUUGCGGUGAAUACGUUCCCGGGUCUUGCACACACCGCCCGUC